GGCCCAUUAGCUCAGUUGG
RNAcentral lists this non-coding RNA (19 nucleotides) under Arabidopsis thaliana (thale cress). Lineage: Eukaryota; Viridiplantae; Streptophyta; Magnoliopsida; Brassicales; Brassicaceae. The record is from RNAcentral.